UCCGAGCCUGUAAUGCGCUUGUUGUAACUUAACAACAAACCAAAUGCCUAAAAGUAAACCUCAUUUAGUUAAGCUUGGAAUAACCGCAAAUACAAAACAAAAAAACAAAAAGCUUGGUUAAGCUUAAAGUUUCUUAUCUAUUGAUAAUCAAUUAUCUACCCAGAAUUGAGCAUUUAAGUAUCGGUCUAAGCAUAGAAUAAGCAGCGGCCAACUUCUUUUCUCUUGUGGCUGCUAAGAUAAGCGCAUCGCUCGCGGUUAAACUCCAGUAUAUAUUUAACCCCCGGAAAAAAAAAAAAGACACGUGGUGGGGAAUUUCCACAUAAGUUUCCCAAAACUAAACGCAGAGGGAAGUGAGCAGCGCUCAGUGUAUUAAAAGUGAAUUACAUUUUUGCGGUGCCAAUUCAAGGUCGAAUUGGCACCCAGUAAGAACCCAUUUGUGUAUUGUUCUUACAUUGGGAAUAAGUUUACAAUCCCCCAAGCAGCCAGUUUACCCUAAGAAGGGCUUCCAGCGCCACGCCGUGGGAUCUGAUGGAUUUAUUAUAAAUUAGUGUGAGAGACACAAUUUUCUUUUGGGAUUAAGGUGCAUGUGCAAUAAUUUUCCCUCAUUAAUUAAAACCCGCCAAUGGCCAGCAUAUGCACCCGAAUUAUUCUCAUCCAAUGACGUCACUCAUCGCCCAAGACAGUUACGCUUGUCCCGUAUUGGUUUCCGGAAUUAUUAAUUUGAUUUAGUUAUUUUUAUUUUGGUAGUAUUUGUUUUUUUUUGGAGCUUGGAGUUUAAUAAUGUAAGAAAAUAACGUUUCCAGUUCCCUUAAUUUGUAGUUCUUUUUAUUAUUUAAAUACUAAAACUGAACGGUAUGGAAAUAUUAAUUAAUUUGGUGAAUAUAUAUAUAUAUACAUACAUAAAAAUAACCUCUAUGCCCUAAAAUUAUAGAUUCAUCGCUCAACCCGACAAAAGAUCUUUUGGACGUGGAAAUUAAACUCGAUGUAAGUGAAAAAAAAAA
This is a long non-coding RNA of Drosophila ananassae, 1001 nucleotides long. RefSeq lists it as uncharacterized. NCBI's taxonomy places the organism in Eukaryota, Metazoa, Arthropoda, Insecta, Diptera, Drosophilidae. The record is from RefSeq and is a predicted model, not a curated record. The transcript is spliced from 2 exons.